AACGAACGCUGGCGGCAUGCCUAACACAUGCAGGUCGAACGAGACCUUCGGGUCUAGUGGCGCACGGGUGCGUAACGCGUGGGAACCUGCCUUUAGGUUCGGAAUAACUCAGAGAAAUUUGAGCUAAUACCGGAUAAUGUCUUCGGACCAAAGAUUUAUCGCCUUUAGAUGGGCCCGCGUUGGAUUAGCUAGUUGGUGGGUAAAGGCCUACCAAGGCGACGAUCCAUAGCUGGUCUGAGAGGAUGAUCAGCCACACUGGGACUGAGACACGGCCCAGACUCCUACGGAGGCAGCAGUGGGGAAUAUUGGACAAUGGGCGAAAGCCUGAUCCAGCAAUGCCGCGUGAGUGAUGAAGGCCUUAGGGUUGUAAAGCUCUUUUACCCGAGAUGAUAAUGACAGUAUCGGGAGAAUAAGCUCCGGCUAACUCCGUGCCAGCAGCCGCGGUAAU
Molecule: ribosomal RNA, 448 nt
Filed under: uncultured bacterium
Lineage: Bacteria
Description: bacterial SSU rRNA
Rfam family: Bacterial small subunit ribosomal RNA
Source: RNAcentral